RNAcentral lists this ribosomal RNA (472 nucleotides) under Mycobacterium hiberniae. Its description in RNAcentral is "Mycolicibacter hiberniae bacterial SSU rRNA". It matches the Rfam family "Bacterial small subunit ribosomal RNA", at positions 27 to 500 of the family's 1533-position model. Lineage: Bacteria; Bacillati; Actinomycetota; Actinomycetes; Mycobacteriales; Mycobacteriaceae. The record is from RNAcentral.
GGACGAACGCUGGCGGCGUGCUUAACACAUGCAAGUCGAACGGAAAGGCCCCUUCGGGGGUACUCGAGUGGCGAACGGGUGAGUAACACGUGGGUGAUCUGCCCUGCACUCUGGGAUAAGCCUGGGAAACUGGGUCUAAUACCGGAUAGGACCGCGCGCUUCAUGGUGUGUGGUGGAAAGCUUUUGCGGUGUGGGAUGGGCCCGCGGCCUAUCAGCUUGUUGGUGGGGUAAUGGCCUACCAAGGCGACGACGGGUAGCCGGCCUGAGAGGGUGACCGGCCACACUGGGACUGAGAUACGGCCCAGACUCCUACGGGAGGCAGCAGUGGGGAAUAUUGCACAAUGGGCGCAAGCCUGAUGCAGCGACGCCGCGUGGGGGAUGACGGCCUUCGGGUUGUAAACCUCUUUCAGUAUCGGCGAAGCUCCGUGGUUUUCUGCGGGGUGACGGUAGGUACAGAAGAAGCACCGGCCAA